UUGCAAUGAUGACAAUCUUAGGACACCUUUGGAUAACCCAUGAAAAGAACUUUUUGUUUAAACUGAGCAAU
Engraulis encrasicolus (European anchovy) is the source of this 71-nucleotide small nucleolar RNA. RefSeq annotates it as small nucleolar RNA SNORD58. NCBI's taxonomy places the organism in Eukaryota, Metazoa, Chordata, Actinopteri, Clupeiformes, Engraulidae. The transcript has a single exon. The record is from RefSeq and is a predicted model, not a curated record.